GAUGAACGCUGGCGGCGUGCCUAAUACAUGCAAGUCGAGCGAACAGACGAGGAGCUUGCUCCUCUGACGUUAGCGGCGGACGGGUGAGUAACACGUGGAUAACCUCCCUAUAAGACUGGGAUAACUUCGGGAAACCGGGGCUAAUACCGGAUAAUAUAUUGAACCGCAUGGUUCAAUAGUGAAAGAUGGUUUUGCUGUCACUUAUAGAUGGAUCCGAGCCGCAUUAGCUAGUUGGUAAGGUAACGGCUUACCACGGCAACGAUGCGUAGCCGACCCGGGAGGGUGAGCGGCCACACUGGAACUGAGACACGGUCCAGACUCCUACGGGAGGCAGCAGUAGGGAAUCUUCCGCGAUGGGCGAAAGCCUGACGGAGCAACGCCGCGUGAGUGAUGAAGGUCUUCGGAUCGUAAAACUCUGUUAUUAGGGAAGAACAAAUGUGUAAGUAACUAUGCACGUCUUGACGGUACCUAAUCAGAAAGCCACGGCUAACUACGUG
This 497-nucleotide ribosomal RNA is filed under the name uncultured bacterium. RNAcentral describes it as "partial 16S ribosomal RNA". It matches the Rfam family "Bacterial small subunit ribosomal RNA", at positions 28 to 507 of the family's 1533-position model. The record is from RNAcentral.